This 2338-nucleotide long non-coding RNA is filed under the name Capsicum annuum. RNAcentral's name for it is "long non-coding RNA (CANN_LNC008660)". Lineage: Eukaryota; Viridiplantae; Streptophyta; Magnoliopsida; Solanales; Solanaceae. The record is from RNAcentral.
AUUAGUAUAGCUUCACGAAAAAACAGAGAUAAGUUUAAUACUUAAAAGACAGAAAUUAUAAUUUUGAAAAUAAGUUUGGAGAAUAUUUCAAGUAAACUAAAAAAUAUUUUAUUUUCAAAGAAAAUUCAUGUCGAAAAGCAUGACUGCAAAUGACAAAAGUGAAAAACUUUUACUCACAUAGACCAAAAUAUAGGAAAAACCUUAUUCUUUUGUUUCUUUCAAAAUAUUUCAUUCAGAUAAAUGAUUUCAUAAAAAGAAUGAUUUGGAUAUUUGUAUAAAAUUUGGAGAAAAUCAAAAUUUUAAAAAGUUUGUAACAAUUAUUUUUGGAUGAGAUAAGGCACAAAUAUCCGAUGAAGGAAGUUCACAAGGAUAAAAAAGAGGAUGACGACGAUGAUGAUGAUGUAACCCAUUGCCAAUAUGAAUCAUUUUCAUAAAUUCUUCAGAAUUCAAUCAAAGAAGAACCAAGUUCGUAAGUUUUUCUCUUCAUUAUAUUUCCUUUAUUUGAUGAUAUAUUCAUUCAUGCCUAGAAUUUUUGUAGUUUUAAUUUGUUGUUGUAUCUUUAAUAAAAGUUAAGUUGUUUGACUUUAAAUCGUUUAACUUAAUUAAUUAUUAGAUUCAAAACAUUUUCUUAUAACCUGAAAUAAGUGGUUUAUUCAACAUUGAAUGAAAGGAUAUAAUUAAUUUUCUCAAUCUGCAAACUAAAAAGUAAAUCUGCAACUAGUGGUUCAAACUUUUUAUCAAUUUGAAUAUCAUAUUUGGUCAAUAUUUAUCUUCAACUCAUUUCUGCCUGCAAAGGUUAAAGAAUCCACCGUUGGGAUUUCAAAAAGUGAUUAUUUUUCUCUGUCAAUUCAGGGACUUGCUUCUAUUAUGAAAGUGCAUACUGAAUAUAAGUAAACUAGAACACAAGGACUGAGGUUCAUAUAAAAGAUCCCAAUUGACUGCACAAGUUACAGGCGGAGAUGUUUCCAUGCAUUUUACAAUUUCUAUGCAGUUGACGUAUACACAGAUGCGGAUAAUCUUUUUAUAUACAGUUCAUAUUGGGUUUAAUAUGCAUGAAAAAAGGUGUGAAUGGAAAAUGGAGGGACACAACUUUUGAGAAAAAGACAUAUUGUUUUGGAAAAAGAGUGACUAUUCAAAUAGUUGUGUCUGUUUGGAAAAAAGACUCAAUGUUUCGAAUGAACAGACAUGACUCUUCCAAAGGAUACACCUUUUCGGAUAAACCAUUGCCACCUUUCGGAAGGGGUACUUGAUGGCUAUAUAAACCUGCAUUUAUCCACAGGUUUAGGUAUGAAAAAUUUUCUGAAUAUACAAACUCUUCUUGUCUUCAAAACAUUCCGUGUGAUCCAUCAAAUCGUUAAGUGAGUUCGAAGAGAUUUCAAUUGUUUGAGGUACCACUACAGUUGGUUUGUUUGGCCAUUUUAUCCUGGGAGGAAAAUUCCACAACCUCGGGUACUUGAGGGGAAUUAUUUCCUUAAGGACACUACGUGAAUUCCGAGGAAUUGGCCAUUUCUGUUUCAUCUUAAUUUCUGAAAAAUAAAACACACUUCUUUGACAGAUUAUUUUGAUCUUGUGUUAAGGGUGUUGUUGUACUUCAUAGUGUUCUUGUUUUAAACUUGAACUAGUGUUGAAGUAGUGUUGCGAAAAUGUAGAUUGUUUGUACCCGAAGACUACAGUCAUGGCAUAGAAACAAAGGCCCUCCAGUAGCUUCUGUUUUAGCAUCAUCUCAUGCUGGAUCAAUUACUCAAUUCCUUUGCCAAAUACUUGUCCAUCAACUCCACCAGCGCGUAUAUUUCACUUUUCUGGACCGAAUUAGCUAAAAGUUGAGGCUGAAUUUGGAAUGCCAAACCAAGUCCUUCGAUCAUGCAUAGUUCACUCUUAGUUGGAUUGAAGGAUGUGUGCAUCUCACGUGAGAUUUGUAUGUAUGACGCGUAUGUUUACUGUAUGACUUUAUGAUAAUUUAGUGUCUACUUGUACACACCCAAAUUGGAGGGUAUAGAUUUUUGAUUUUGUGAAUACCAGCUAUUGUUUACUCACAAUAUUACUGGAACUAGAGAGAAAAUGUAAGAAAAGGAGAUUGCUAAGUAUUUUGAGAAAUUAUCUUGCUUACUUUAUUACACUACAGAAUGGUGGUGUUAUAUACAGUUGUUGUGGAAUGCCAGCUAAGAGCCAACAUAACUAUAUAAUAACCAUCUCUAACUAGCUAGACACAUAAUAGAAUAUAACAAAAGAAUUAAACUGGAACCCUCCACAAGCUAUCAUAACGCACUACAGUCUACUUCAUCAGGACAAUUCUACACAUUUGCCUAACUCUUCAGUCUUCACCCCCCCUCAAGCUUGG